RNAcentral lists this ribosomal RNA (2932 nucleotides) under Bacillus velezensis. Its description in RNAcentral is "23S ribosomal RNA". It matches the Rfam family "Bacterial large subunit ribosomal RNA". The record is from RNAcentral. Lineage: Bacteria; Bacillati; Bacillota; Bacilli; Caryophanales; Bacillaceae.
CGGUUAAGUUAGAAAGGGCGCACGGUGGAUGCCUUGGCACUAGGAGCCGAUGAAGGACGGGACGAACACCGAUAUGCUUCGGGGAGCUGUAAGCAAGCUUUGAUCCGGAGAUUUCCGAAUGGGGAAACCCACCACUCGUAAUGGAGUGGUAUCCAUAUCUGAAUACAUAGGAUAUGAGAAGGCAGACCCGGGGAACUGAAACAUCUAAGUACCCGGAGGAAGAGAAAGCAAAUGCGAUUCCCUGAGUAGCGGCGAGCGAAACGGGACCAGCCCAAACCAAGAGGCUUGCCUCUUGGGGUUGUAGGACACUCUGUACGGAGUUACAAAGGAACGAGGUAGAUGAAGAGGUCUGGAAAGGCCCGCCAUAGAAGGUAACAGCCCUGUAGUCAAAACUUCGUUCUCUCCUGAGUGGAUCCUGAGUACGGCGGAACACGUGAAAUUCCGUCGGAAUCCGGGAGGACCAUCUCCCAAGGCUAAAUACUCCCUAGUGACCGAUAGUGAACCAGUACCGUGAGGGAAAGGUGAAAAGCACCCCGGAAGGGGAGUGAAAGAGAUCCUGAAACCGUGUGCCUACAAGUAGUCAGAGCCCGUUAACGGGUGAUGGCGUGCCUUUUGUAGAAUGAACCGGCGAGUUACGAUCCCGUGCAAGGUUAAGCAGAAGAUGCGGAGCCGCAGCGAAAGCGAGUCUGAAUAGGGCGAAUUGAGUACGUGGUCGUAGACCCGAAACCAGGUGAUCUACCCAUGUCCAGGGUGAAGUUCAGGUAACACUGAAUGGAGGCCCGAACCCACGCACGUUGAAAAGUGCGGGGAUGAGGUGUGGGUAGGGGUGAAAUGCCAAUCGAACCUGGAGAUAGCUGGUUCUCUCCGAAAUAGCUUUAGGGCUAGCCUCAAGGUAAGAGUCUCGGAGGUAGAGCACUGAUUGGACUAGGGGCCCCUACCGGGUUACCGAAUUCAGUCAAACUCCGAAUGCCGAUGACUUAUCCUUGGGAGUCAGACUGCGAGUGAUAAGAUCCGUAGUCGAAAGGGAAACAGCCCAGACCGCCAGCUAAGGUCCCAAAGUAUACGUUAAGUGGAAAAGGAUGUGGAGUUGCUUAGACAACCAGGAUGUUGGCUUAGAAGCAGCCACCAUUUAAAGAGUGCGUAAUAGCUCACUGGUCGAGUGACUCUGCGCCGAAAAUGUACCGGGCUAAACGUAUCACCGAAGCUGCGGACUGUUCUUCGAACAGUGGUAGGAGAGCGUUCUAAGGGCUGUGAAGCAAGACCGGAAGGACUUGUGGAGCGCUUAGAAGUGAGAAUGCCGGUAUGAGUAGCGAAAGAGGGGUGAGAAUCCCCUCCACCGAAUGCCUAAGGUUUCCUGAGGAAGGCUCGUCCGCUCAGGGUUAGUCGGGACCUAAGCCGAGGCCGAAAGGCGUAGGCGAUGGAUAACAGGUUGAUAUUCCUGUACCACCUCCUCACCAUUUGAGCAAUGGGGGGACGCAGGAGGAUAGGGUAAGCGCGGUAUUGGAUAUCCGCGUCCAAGCAGUUAGGCUGGGAAAUAGGCAAAUCCGUUUCCCGUGAAGGCUGAGCUGUGAUGGCGAGCGAAUUAUAGUAGCGAAGUUCCUGAUUCCACACUGCCAAGAAAAGCCUCUAGCGAGGUGAGAGGUGCCCGUACCGCAAACCGACACAGGUAGGCGAGGAGAGAAUCCUAAGGUGAUCGAGAGAACUCUCGUUAAGGAACUCGGCAAAAUGACCCCGUAACUUCGGGAGAAGGGGUGCUCUGUUAGGGUGCAAGCCCGAGAGAGCCGCAGUGAAUAGGCCCAGGCGACUGUUUAGCAAAAACACAGGUCUCUGCGAAGCCGUAAGGCGAAGUAUAGGGGCUGACGCCUGCCCGGUGCUGGAAGGUUAAGAGGAGCGCUUAGCGUAAGCGAAGGUGCGAAUUGAAGCCCCAGUAAACGGCGGCCGUAACUAUAACGGUCCUAAGGUAGCGAAAUUCCUUGUCGGGUAAGUUCCGACCCGCACGAAAGGCGCAACGAUCUGGGCACUGUCUCAACGAGAGACUCGGUGAAAUUAUAGUACCUGUGAAGAUGCAGGUUACCCGCGACAGGACGGAAAGACCCCGUGGAGCUUUACUGCAGCCUGAUAUUGAAUGUUGGUACAGCUUGUACAGGAUAGGUAGGAGCCUUGGAAACCGGAGCGCCAGCUUCGGUGGAGGCAUCGGUGGGAUACUACCCUGGCUGUAUUGACCUUCUAACCCGCCGCCCUUAUCGGGCGGGGAGACAGUGUCAGGUGGGCAGUUUGACUGGGGCGGUCGCCUCCUAAAAGGUAACGGAGGCGCCCAAAGGUUCCUCAGAAUGGUUGGAAAUCAUUCGCAGAGUGUAAAGGCACAAGGGAGCUUGACUGCGAGACCUACAAGUCGAGCAGGGACGAAAGUCGGGCUUAGUGAUCCGGUGGUUCCGCAUGGAAGGGCCAUCGCUCAACGGAUAAAAGCUACCCCGGGGAUAACAGGCUUAUCUCCCCCAAGAGUCCACAUCGACGGGGAGGUUUGGCACCUCGAUGUCGGCUCAUCGCAUCCUGGGGCUGUAGUCGGUCCCAAGGGUUGGGCUGUUCGCCCAUUAAAGCGGUACGCGAGCUGGGUUCAGAACGUCGUGAGACAGUUCGGUCCCUAUCCGUCGCGGGCGCAGGAAAUUUGAGAGGAGCUGUCCUUAGUACGAGAGGACCGGGAUGGACGCACCGCUGGUGUACCAGUUGUUCUGCCAAGGGCAUCGCUGGGUAGCUAUGUGCGGACGGGAUAAGUGCUGAAAGCAUCUAAGCAUGAAGCCCCCCUCAAGAUGAGAUUUCCCAUUCCGCAAGGAAGUAAGAUCCCUGAAAGAUGAUCAGGUUGAUAGGUCUGAGGUGGAAGUGUGGCGACACAUGGAGCUGACAGAUACUAAUCGAUCGAGGACUUAACCAAUUU